GGCAGUUCUCAGGUGACGCACCCCUGAAUUGGGCUCCCUCCUAUCUGGUUUCAGGUGCGUCACCCGAGAACCACA
Non-coding RNA from Myotis brandtii (Brandt's bat), 75 nucleotides. The record is from Rfam. Lineage: Eukaryota; Metazoa; Chordata; Mammalia; Chiroptera; Vespertilionidae.